UUGGCCUCCCAAAGUGCUGAUAGCCAACUAACAGGUUUACUUCCUGAGAGGCUAAAAAUACAUUACUAUGAAUAUCACGCAAUGCCACGGCACAGACGUCCAAGGAGAGCAUUUCAGUGAAGCUCUAGAAUUGUUUCUUAUGUAAGGUAUCCUUACAGGAGGGAGGCAGGAGCAGAUUUGGCUGCAGAAGAGGAAAAGGCAAUGUAACCACAGAAACAGAGACUGGAGUCAUACAGCUACCACCCAAGAACACCGGCAGGCAGCCACCAGAAGAUGGAAGGGGCAAGGAACAGAUUCUCCCCGGAAACCUCCAGAAGGAUCCAACCCUGUUGAUACCUGGAUUUUAUUCCUAUAUAACUCAUUUUGAAUUUAUACUUAAUUGUAAUUGUUCUGGCUUCCAGAACUGUAAAAACAAAACAAA
This is a non-coding RNA of Macaca mulatta (Rhesus monkey), 421 nucleotides long. The record is from RefSeq and is a predicted model, not a curated record. NCBI's taxonomy places the organism in Eukaryota, Metazoa, Chordata, Mammalia, Primates, Cercopithecidae.